ACUCCUACGGGAGGCAGCAGUGGGGAAUAUUGCACAAUGGGCGCAAGCCUGAUGCAGCCAUGCCGCGUGUGUGAAGAAGGCCUUCGGGUUGUAAAGCACUUUCAGUCGUGAGGAAGGUAGUGUAGUUAAUAGCUGCAUUAUUUGUACGUUAGCGACAGAAGAAGCACCGGCUAACUCCGUGCCAGCAGCCGCGGUAAUACGGAGGGUGCGAGCGUUAAUCGGAAUUACUGGGCGUAAAGCGCAUGCAGGUGGUUUGUUAAGUCAGAUGUGAAAGCCCGGGGUCUCAACCUCGGAAUAGCAUUUGAAACUGGCAGACGUAGAGUACUGUAGAGGGGGUAGAAUUUCAGGUGUAGCGGUGAAAUGCGUAGAGAUCUGAAGGAAUACCGGUGGCGAAAGGCGGCCCCUGGACAGAUACUGACACUCAGAUGCGAAAGCGUGGGAGCAAACGAGGAUUAG
RNAcentral lists this ribosomal RNA (456 nucleotides) under uncultured bacterium. RNAcentral's name for it is "bacterial SSU rRNA". It matches the Rfam family "Bacterial small subunit ribosomal RNA", at positions 335 to 781 of the family's 1533-position model. The record is from RNAcentral.